RNAcentral lists this ribosomal RNA (394 nucleotides) under uncultured bacterium. RNAcentral's name for it is "bacterial SSU rRNA". It matches the Rfam family "Bacterial small subunit ribosomal RNA", at positions 28 to 416 of the family's 1533-position model. The record is from RNAcentral.
GACGAACGCUGGCGGCGUGCCUAACACAUGCAAGUCGAACGGGGUCCAUGGGAGCUUGCUCCCGGAAGACCUAGUGGCGAACGGGUGAGUAACACGUGAGAAACCUGCCCUGGAGUGGGGAAUAACUCGGGGAAACUCGAGCUAAUACCGCAUACCCUCGGAUGGUCGCAUGGCCGACCGAGGAAAGAUUUAUCGCUUCAGGAGGGUCUCGCGGCCUAUCAGCUAGUUGGUGGGGUAACGGCCUACCAAGGCAACGACGGGUAGCUGGUUUGAGAGAACGAUCAGCCACACUGGGACUGAGACACGGCCCAGACUCCUACGGGAGGCAGCAGUGGGGAAUCUUGCGCAAUGGGCGAAAGCCUGACGCAGCAACGCCGCGUGCGGGAUGACGGCC